AGUGAACGCUGGCGGUAGGCCUAACACAUGCAAGUCGAACGGCAGCACAGUAAGAGCUUGCUCUUACGGGUGGCGAGUGGCGGACGGGUGAGGAAUACAUCGGAAUCUACUUUUUCGUGGGGGAUAACGUAGGGAAACUUACGCUAAUACCGCAUACGACCUACGGGUGAAAGCAGGGGAUCUUCGGACCUUGCGCGAUUGAAUGAGCCGAUGUCGGAUUAGCUAGUUGGCGGGGUAAAGGCCCACCAAGGCGACGAUCCGUAGCUGGUCUGAGAGGAUGAUCAGCCACACUGGAGCUGAGACACGGUCCAGCCUCCUACGGGAGGCAGCAGUGGGGAAUAUUGGACAAUGGGCGCAAGCCUGAUCCAGCCAUACCGCGUGGGUGAAGAAGGCCUUCGGGUUGUAAAGCCCUUUUGUUGGGAAAGAAGAGCAGCAGGUUAAUACCCCGCUGUUCUGACGGUACCCAAAGAAUAAGCACCGGCUAACUUCGUG
This 492-nucleotide ribosomal RNA is filed under the name uncultured bacterium. RNAcentral describes it as "partial 16S ribosomal RNA". It matches the Rfam family "Bacterial small subunit ribosomal RNA", at positions 29 to 507 of the family's 1533-position model. The record is from RNAcentral.